AGUCAAUAGAUACCCGGGGUAGUCCAUGCCGUAAACGAUGAUUGCUAGGUGUGGGGGGGUCUGACCCCUUCCGUGCCGGAGUUAAACACAAAUAAGCAAUCCACCUGGGGAGUACGGCCGCAAGGUUGAAACUCAAAGGAAUUGACGGGGGCCCGCACAAGCAGUGGAGUAUGUGGUUUAAUUCGAAGCAACGCGAAGAACCUUACCAGGUCUUGACAUCCACCGAAUCCUGUAGAGAUACGGGAGUGCCCUUCGGGGAACGGUGAGACAGGUGGUGCAUGGUUGUCGUCAGCUCGUGUCGUGAGAUGUUGGGUUAAGUCCCGCAACGAGCGCAACCCUUGUGAAUAGUUGCUACGAAACGAGCACUCUAUUCAGACCGCCGUUGACAAAACGGAGGAAGUGGGGAUGACGUCAAAUCAUCAUGCCCCUUAUGACCUGGGCUACACACGUACUACAAUGGCCGUUAACGAGAGGGAUGCAAUGCCGCGAGGUGGAGCG
RNAcentral lists this ribosomal RNA (498 nucleotides) under uncultured bacterium. Its description in RNAcentral is "bacterial SSU rRNA". It matches the Rfam family "Bacterial small subunit ribosomal RNA", at positions 775 to 1269 of the family's 1533-position model. The record is from RNAcentral.